UACGUAGGGUGCAAGCGUUGUCCGGAAUCAUUGGGCGUAAAGAGCGUGCAGGCGGCUCGGUAAGUCCGCUGUGAAAGUCCAGGGCUCAACCCUGGAAUGCCGGUGGAAACUGGCGAGCUAGAGUCCGGAAGAGGCGAGUGGAAUUCCUGGUGUAGCGGUGAAAUGCGCAGAUAUCAGGAGGAACACCAAUGGCGAAGGCAGCUCGCUGGGACGGUACUGACGCUGAGACGCGAAAGCGUGGGGAGCAAACAGG
This 253-nucleotide ribosomal RNA is filed under the name uncultured bacterium. RNAcentral describes it as "partial 16S ribosomal RNA". It matches the Rfam family "Bacterial small subunit ribosomal RNA", at positions 524 to 776 of the family's 1533-position model. The record is from RNAcentral.